ACAGCCAUGUUAGGGACAGGAGGAGAAUCUCGCCCUAACAUGAGCAAAGUCGAAAGCUCGGUUCCCCUUAGACCGGAUGGGGGGAGAGGCCAAACAGCGCCCAUAUGCGCCCCUACAGCCAUGUUAGGGACAGGAGGAGAACCUCUCCCUAACAUGAGCAAAGUCGAAGGUCCGGUUCUCCUUAGAUCGGAUGGGGGGAGAGGCCAAACAGCGCCCAUAUGCGCCCCCACAGCCAUGUUAGAGACAGGAGGAGAACCUCGUCCUAACAUGAGCAAAGUCGAAGGUCCGGUUCCCCUUAGAUCGGAUGGGAGGAGAGGCCAAACAGCGCCCGUGUGCGCCCCCACAGCCAUGAUG
Molecule: long non-coding RNA, 354 nt
Filed under: Elaeis guineensis (African oil palm)
Lineage: Eukaryota; Viridiplantae; Streptophyta; Magnoliopsida; Arecales; Arecaceae
Description: long non-coding RNA (EGUI_LNC077636)
Source: RNAcentral